UUUUUUCCGAAAUUCGAGCUAAGAGGGAAUUCGGCGAGGAUAUUUUCCAGUGCCGAAGCUGCCCCCGCAACUGUGAACGGCGAACCGAUAUCAACAAAGCCACUGGAAUUAUUUCUGGGAAGGUGAAUAAAGGUGUGGACCCGUAAGCCAGGAGACCUGCCGCGGCAAAUA
This 171-nucleotide non-coding RNA is filed under the name uncultured Bartonella sp. The record is from RNAcentral. Lineage: Bacteria; Pseudomonadati; Pseudomonadota; Alphaproteobacteria; Hyphomicrobiales; Bartonellaceae.